RNAcentral lists this transfer RNA (73 nucleotides) under Ailuropoda melanoleuca (giant panda). It matches the Rfam family "tRNA". Rfam says of the family: Transfer RNA (tRNA) molecules are approximately 80 nucleotides in length. Their secondary structure includes four short double-helical elements and three loops (D, anti-codon, and T loops). The record is from Rfam by way of RNAcentral. Lineage: Eukaryota; Metazoa; Chordata; Mammalia; Carnivora; Ursidae.
GCCUGGCUGGCUCAGUCAGAAGAGCAUGUGACUCUUGAUUUCAGGGAUGUGAGUUCAAGCCCCACACUGGGUG